CGUGUACAAAUGUAUGACGUUCGCGAAACUACAGAAUAGCAGAAUAGGUUUGUCCUUGUUCUGGAUUUAUCAUUGUCGUGUAACAAACGACUAUGCUUCUCUUUGAGGUCUUUAUUAUCAAGUAAGGAAAGCACUUGAAGAGACACAGUUAUUGAAACUCGCGACGAGAGCCAAUAGAGAAACAAAUUUACUGAAUUACUUUUAGACGCAAAUGUCCUUUGAAGUCGGAAAGUGCCUUAUUUUACAAGUUACAGAAGAAAGUUUACGGAAAUUUACAGACAAUAGCUGUGAUAACUAUAACAAUGGCGAUAUUUAUUCAACAUUACCGUACAUAGGUAUAACUACCUCGUAUUAAAACCACAAUCAUACUUUUGUUCUGUCUAGUGUUCUUUGACAUUUAAAAUACACAAGUUUAUCGGAGGGGGAAUUUAUAUAUAAUCGCAACUUUUUCUUUAAAAAUUUCAAACUCAUCCAUGUCCUCCCCAACAAUUCCGUGCUCAUUUCGAUUCGCGACCGCAAUUAUUACGCAGCCUCGUUCCUUCCAUUCCGCGUCAUCCGGUAUUAACGGAAGUGUAACGUCAAUCCCUGCCAUUACAAAUGUAAUUAUUUACAAAAGCGUGCACAGUGGCGGCUUUUCCUCGAAUAUCUCGAAUACGUCGAAAACAUCGCGCACAUUCGAUAUUCGUUUACGCAGUUUUUCGCACGUCGAUGUAUAGUUCUGUCACCGGCAAAACGAUGAAUCUAUCCCGAGUGACGGAGGAAAUUCAAGCGAGAACCGAAAUUUCAUCCGCGUCGGAAGCGUCGCAGUGUUUUCAGCCGAGGAGGAAGCGUCUAUCGAUCAGCCUCGACCCGAAAAGACAAUGAAAUAAAAAAGCGGCUUGCAUAUAACAAGGAUGAUAUAUAUAUGACACAAUCAGUGAUCAAGGUGUUUAUAAUAAGGUCUAAUGAUUCAUACUUCCCACACCAGGAAGAAUAUGGAAUACGUGCACUCAAUAAUAAUAAUGCGGCGUUUGAGAAAAAUAAUUUUUCUAUAAAAUCGUAGCAGACAGAUAAAUCUACGUUUCUAAAAUGAUGAUUUCAAUAUUCUACCAAUUUAUUGAAUUGUUUAAAGUUUAAAUAAAUUUUAAGUCAAAUGCUCUUAGCAAGAUAUGAAAGCAGAAGCUUUUGUUUUAAAGCAGAAACAAAGCAGAAAGUAAACUCGCUCUUUCUCUCUCUCUCUUCUA
Long non-coding RNA from Formica exsecta, 1223 nucleotides. RefSeq lists it as uncharacterized. The record is from RefSeq and is a predicted model, not a curated record. NCBI's taxonomy places the organism in Eukaryota, Metazoa, Arthropoda, Insecta, Hymenoptera, Formicidae. The transcript has 3 exons.